RNAcentral lists this ribosomal RNA (1223 nucleotides) under uncultured microorganism. RNAcentral's name for it is "bacterial SSU rRNA". It matches the Rfam family "Bacterial small subunit ribosomal RNA", at positions 257 to 1501 of the family's 1533-position model. The record is from RNAcentral.
GUAACGGCGCACCAAGGCUCAGAUGGGUAGCCGGCCUGAGAGGGUGAACGCACACAAUGGAACGGAGAACCGUCAGAACCUAACGAAGCAGCAGUAGGAAUAUUGGGCAAUGGGCCAGCCUGACCCAGCAACGCCGCUGGGUGAUGAAGCUUCGAGGUGUAAGCUCUUUUGAGUGGGAAGAAGGCAUCAGGAAUAAGACGCUGGUGUUGACGGUACUACUCGAAUAAGCCCCGGCUAACUCCGUGCCAGCAGCGCGGUAAUACGGAGGGGGCGAGCGUUGUUCGGAAUUACUGGGCGUAAAGGGCGCGUAGGCGGCCUGAUAAGUUGAAUGUGGAAGCCCUCGGCUUAACCGAGGAAUGUCGUUCAAAACUGUUGGGCUAGAGUAUGGGAGAGGAGAGCGGAAUUCCCAGUGUAGCGGUGAAAUGCGUAGAUAUUGGGAGGAACAUCGGUGGCGAAGGCGGCUCUCUGGAACAUAACUGACGCUGAGGCGCGAAAGCGUGGGGAGCAAACAGGAUUAGAUACCCUGGUAGUCCACGCUGUAAACGAUGGGCACUAGGUGUAGCGGGUAUUUACCCCCGCUGUGCCGGAGCUAACGCAUUAAGUGCCCCGCCUGGGGAGUACGUACGCAAGUAUGAAACUCAAAGGAAUUGACGGGGGCCCGCACAAGCGGUGGAGCAUGUGGUUUAAUUCGACGCAACGCGAAGAACCUUACCUGGGUUUGACAUGUAAUUGCCGGGCAGCGAAAGUUGUCUUUCCUUCGGGACGGUUACACAGGUGCUGCAUGGCUGUCGUCAGCUCGUGUCGUGAGAUGUUGGGUUAAGUCCCGCAACGAGCGCAACCCUUACCCUUAGUUGCCAACGGGUCAAGCCCGGGACUCUAGGGAACUGCCGGUGAUAAACCGGAGAAGGUGGGGAUGACGUCAAGUCCUCAUGGCCCUUACGCCCAGGGCUACACACGUGCUACAUGGUCGGUACAAAGGGAUGCAAUACUGCGAAGUGGAGCCAAUCCAAAAAACCGGUCUCAGUUCGGAUUGGAGUCUGCACUCGACUCCAUGAAGUGAUCGCUAGUAAUCGCGAUCAGCAUGCCGCGGGGAAUACGUUCCGGGCAUUGUACAACCGCCCGUCACCCAGAGUGAUGGUACUAGAACCCGGUGGCUAACCUUUCGGAGAGACAACCGCACAAGGUACGAUCAGUGAUUGGGGUGAAGUCGUAACAAGGUAACC